Macadamia integrifolia is the source of this 604-nucleotide long non-coding RNA. RefSeq lists it as uncharacterized. The transcript is spliced from 2 exons. NCBI's taxonomy places the organism in Eukaryota, Viridiplantae, Streptophyta, Magnoliopsida, Proteales, Proteaceae. The record is from RefSeq and is a predicted model, not a curated record.
UAAGGAAGUGGUGGCAGAGUUGUUAAAUCAUUUAGGGACAGCAGUGACAUCUUCGGGCAGCUGCACAGAGCACAUCCGUCAGUCCUUGGAAGCCGUUCAACCUAUGAUUCCUGAGGAGAUGAAUACCCUUCUAUGUGUAGCUCCUGCAAUGGAAGAAAUUUCAAAAUCUCUCAAUGAUAUGGGGCCUCUCAAAUCUCCUGGUUAUCUUCCACAGGAGCUAAAUAACACUUUUGUCUGCCUCAUCCCGAAAGUCUCUGACCCCGAACGUGCGGAGCAUUUUAGGCCCAUUAGCCUAUGUGGAGUGGCCAUCAAAUUUAUCUUGAAGAUCAUAGUGGAAAGGCUUAGUGGUAUGUUGCAAGACAUCAUCUCUCCAAACCAAUCGGCCUUCGUCCCAGAUCGUCUCAUAUCGGACAACAUUUUUAUGGCUCAUGACAUAUAUCACUAAAUCAAGCAUCGCAAGAAAGGGAAGAAGAAGUUCUUGGCUCUUAAGUUCGACGUGAGGAAAUCCUACGAUAAGUUGGAAUGGCCUUUUAUCCGUGCUGCCCUACUGCAAUUGGGAUUUUGUAUCAGAUGGGUGGAUUUGGUAAUGAAGUGCAUUUCCUCA